GAUACACGGACCAAGGAGUCUAGCAUGUGCGCGAGUCAUUGGGACACGACUAAACCUAAAGGCGUAAUGAAAGUGAAAGUCCGCCUCGCGCGGACCGAGGGAAGAUGGGCGUCGGUCUUGUUACAAUGCCGCGUCCCGCAUUCCCGGGGCGUCUCGUUCUCAUUGCGAGAAGAGGCGCACCAAGAGCGUACACGCUGGGACCCGAAAGAUGGUGAACUAUGCCUGGUCAGGACGAAGUCAGGGGAAACCCUGAUGGAGGUCCGUAGCGAUUCUGACGUGCAAAUCGAUCGUCGGAACUGGGUAUAGGGGCGAAAGACUAAUCGAACCAUCUAGUAGCUGGUUCCCUCCGAAGUUUCCCUCAGGAUAGCUGGCGCUCGUUGCGCGCGAGUCUCAUCCGGUAAAGCGAAUGAUUAGAGGCAUUGGGGCCGAAACGGCCUCAACCUAUUCUCAAACUUUAAAUGGGUGAGAUCUCCGGCUUGCUCGAACCGAUGAAGCCGCGAGAUACGGAUCAGAGUGCCAAGUGGGCCAUUUUUGGUAAGCAGAACUGGCGCUGUGGGAUGAACCAAACGUCGAGUUAAAGCGCCCAAAUCGACGCUUAUGGGACACCAUGAAAGGCGUUGGUAACUUAAGACAGCAGGACGGUGGCCAUGGAAGUCGGAAUCCG
This 664-nucleotide ribosomal RNA is filed under the name Tanaops cf. longiceps G0030. RNAcentral's name for it is "partial 28S large subunit ribosomal RNA". It matches the Rfam family "Eukaryotic large subunit ribosomal RNA", at positions 656 to 1270 of the family's 3401-position model. Lineage: Eukaryota; Metazoa; Arthropoda; Insecta; Coleoptera; Melyridae. The record is from RNAcentral.